This 492-nucleotide ribosomal RNA is filed under the name uncultured bacterium. Its description in RNAcentral is "partial 16S ribosomal RNA". It matches the Rfam family "Bacterial small subunit ribosomal RNA", at positions 29 to 507 of the family's 1533-position model. The record is from RNAcentral.
AGUGAACGCUGGCGGCAGGCCUAACACAUGCAAGUCGAACGGUAGCACAGUACGAGCUUGCUCUUACGGGUGGCGAGUGGCGGACGGGUGAGGAAUACAUCGGAAUCUACUUUUUCGUGGGGGAUAACGUAGGGAAAACUACGCUCAUACCACAUACGACCUACGGGGGAAAGCAGGGGUUCUUCGGACCUUGCGCGCGUUAAUAGGCCGAUGUCGGAUUAGCUAGUUGGCGGGGUAAAGGCCCACCAAGGCGACGAUCCGUAGCUGGUCUGAGAGGAUGAUCAGCCACACUGGAACUGAGACACGGUCCAGACUCCUACGGGAGGCAGCAGUGGGGAAUAUUGGACAAUGGGCGCAAGCCUGAUCCAGCCAUGCCGCGUGGGUGAAGAAGGCCUUCGGGUUGUAAAGCCCUUUUGUAGGGAAAGAAAAGCCUCAGGUUAAUACCCCGCUGUUCUGACGGUACCGAAAGAAUAAGCACCGGCUAACUUCGUG